GCCUGGGUGGCUCAGUCGGUUAAGCGUCUGACUUCGGCUCAGGUCACGAUCCCGCGCGGUUCGUGGGUUCGAGCCCCGCGUCGGGCC
Molecule: transfer RNA, 87 nt
Filed under: Felis catus (domestic cat)
Lineage: Eukaryota; Metazoa; Chordata; Mammalia; Carnivora; Felidae
Rfam family: tRNA
About the family: Transfer RNA (tRNA) molecules are approximately 80 nucleotides in length.
Source: Rfam by way of RNAcentral